This 497-nucleotide ribosomal RNA is filed under the name uncultured bacterium. RNAcentral's name for it is "partial 16S ribosomal RNA". It matches the Rfam family "Bacterial small subunit ribosomal RNA", at positions 28 to 507 of the family's 1533-position model. The record is from RNAcentral.
GAUGAACGCUGGCGGCGUGCCUAACACAUGCAAGUCGAGCGAAAGCACGAGAAGUUUGCUUCCCUGAUGUUAGCGGCGGACGGGAGCUUACCAUGUGGAUAACCUACCUAUAAGACUGGGAUACCUUCGGGAAACCGUAGCUACUACCGGAUAAUAUUUUGAACUGCAUGGUUCACACGUGAAAGACGCUCUUUCUGUCACUUAUAGCUGGAUCCGCGCUGCAUUAGUUAGUUGGUAAGGUAACGGGUUACCAAGGCAACGAUGCAUAGCCGACCUGAGAGGGUGGACGGCCACACGGGAUGUGAGGCACGGUCGCGACUCCGACGGGAGGCAACAGUAGGGAAUCUUCCGCGAUGGGCGAAAGCCUGAUGGAGCAACGCCGCGGGAGUGAUGAAGGUCUACGGAUGGGAGAGCUCUGUAAGUAGUGAGGAAGAUAUGUGUAAUUAACUGUGCAGAUCUUGACGGUACCGAGACAAAAAGCCACGGCUAACUACGUG